GACGAACGCUGGCGGCGUGCUUCAUACAUGCAAGUCGAACGAGAAGCUGACUUCGGUCAGUGGAAAGUGGCGGACGGGUGAGUAAUAUGUAGGAAAUCUGCCUUUAGGAGGGGGACAACAGAGGGAAACUUCUGCUAAUACCCCAUAUGAGCGUAGCUGAAAUGCUAUUCUUGAAAACUCCGGUGCCUAAAGAUGAGCCUGCAUCUGAUUAGCUAGUUGGUAGUGUAAUGGACUACCAAGGCGACGAUCAGUAGCUGGUUUGAGAGGAUGAUCAGCCACAAUGGGACUGGGACACGGCCCCUAAUCCUACGGGGGGCAGGAGUAGGGAAUUUUGCGCAAUGGGGGAAGCCUGAAGCAGCAACGCCGCGUGAACGAUUAAGCCCUUCGGGGUGUAAAGUUCUGUCAGUGGGGACGAAACUUGACGGUACCCACAGAGGAAGCACCGGCUAACUCCGUG
This 457-nucleotide ribosomal RNA is filed under the name uncultured bacterium. RNAcentral describes it as "partial 16S ribosomal RNA". It matches the Rfam family "Bacterial small subunit ribosomal RNA", at positions 28 to 507 of the family's 1533-position model. The record is from RNAcentral.